RNAcentral lists this ribosomal RNA (492 nucleotides) under uncultured bacterium. Its description in RNAcentral is "partial 16S ribosomal RNA". It matches the Rfam family "Bacterial small subunit ribosomal RNA", at positions 29 to 507 of the family's 1533-position model. The record is from RNAcentral.
AGUGAACGCUGGCGGUAGGCCUAACACAUGCAAGUCGAACGGCAGCACAGUAAGAGCUUGCUCUUACGGGUGGCGAGUGGCGGAGGGGUGAGGAAUACAUCGGAAUCUACUUUUUCGUGGGGGAUAACGUAGGGAAACUUACGCUAAUACCGCAUACGACCUACGGGUGAAAGCAGGGGAUCUUCGGACCUUGCGCGAUUGAAUGAGCCGAUGUCGGAUUAGCUAGUUGGCGGGGUAAAGGCCCACCAAGGCGACGAUCCGUAGCUGGUCUGAGAGGAUGAUCAGCCACACUGGAACUGAGACACGGUCCAGACUCCUACGGGAGGCAGCAGUGGGGAAUAUUGGACAAUGGGCGAAAGCCUGAUCCAGCCAUACCGCGUGGGUGAAGAAGGCCUUCGGGUUGUAAAGCCCUUUUGUUGGGAAAGAAAAGCAGCAGGUUAAUACCCCGCUGUUCUGACGGUACCCAAAGAAUAAGCACCGGCUAACUUCGUG